GCAUGAAUUACUGGGUAAGUUCUCCUUUGGCAGGUGGCGAACUCAUAAUAAUAUUAAUGCACAUCACUUUUUCUUUUCUUUUUUUUUUUUUUGAAUUUUUUCACCCAUUAAUUAUUAUAGAAAACGAGUUUAGCCCACUGCCAAAGGAGAUUUGCCCCGCAAUUCAUAC
RNAcentral lists this microRNA precursor (169 nucleotides) under Morus notabilis. Its description in RNAcentral is "mir-399 microRNA precursor family". It matches the Rfam family "mir-399 microRNA precursor family". From Rfam's summary of the family: mir-399 was identified in both Arabidopsis thaliana and Oryza sativa computationally and was later experimentally verified. mir-399 is thought to target mRNAs coding for a phosphatase transporter. The record is from Rfam by way of RNAcentral. Lineage: Eukaryota; Viridiplantae; Streptophyta; Magnoliopsida; Rosales; Moraceae.